CGACAUGUGUUUCCUCUUCCUUGUGUUAUUUGACCUUGUCUUUCAGCACAUGGACGUACACACCUGACAACAGCAAAUAUUACUUUAGUUUAAACACAGUUCAAUCUAAUGAAGAAUCCAAUGACUCAUUCCAUAGCUCUGCAUCUUAAUGUCUUACCUCCGGACGUGUGACGUCUUCUUCUAACAAAUAAUAUGGCGACUACAACGAUGAUGACUACAACUGCACAGGCGGACCCUGCAGCAAUGUAAAUAACAGUCCUGCUUCCCGAGCCUGAAACAGCAGGAGAAUAAUCAUUCCUUGAGUAAGCCGUGUCAAUAUGGCGUGCAUAAUGAAGCGCUCGACUCCACCCACGUCAAGGCAGCGUUUCCUCAAAGUGAUCAGAUAAGUUCAGAUAAUUUCCAUAAAGUAUCACACUUCAGAGCAGCCCAAGAUUGCUGGCUUGUGUCAAAUAAACCUCUCCAACAGCGACGUCGCCUAUUUCACCUGGAUUUGGACCAUGCUUGUCCUGAACAAUCGUCGAAUGGAGCAAUGAGUGCUAUAUAGUGUGACCCUGCUGAUUGGGUCGUGACUUGGAUUGUCACCACUGUCCCCGAGUCCAUUAUUACUGGUCACCAUGACAGGUAGAAUAUCGCUGACUGUGACCGUUUUGCACAUUUGGGUACAAUUAUACAGUGGUUUGCAGCUUACAAAAUUCGCCAUGUAUGACUACAUAUCUUGCACUUUUUCCAAAUAGUUAUUUCUUACACAUAAGUCGACACACCAUGAUGCGACACCAAUUAUGCUCAACACGAGGCAACAUCAAGGCAUUUACCUAUAUCCUAUGUUAAAUAUCAUAAACAACACGAUAUGUAUUCACUAGUUGAUUAGAAUUGUUCGUUUAUGAUCGCCACAAGUCAAUCACACAUUCCAUGCU
Haliotis rubra (blacklip abalone) is the source of this 914-nucleotide long non-coding RNA. RefSeq lists it as uncharacterized. NCBI's taxonomy places the organism in Eukaryota, Metazoa, Mollusca, Gastropoda, Lepetellida, Haliotidae. The record is from RefSeq and is a predicted model, not a curated record. The transcript is spliced from 2 exons.